This 468-nucleotide ribosomal RNA is filed under the name uncultured bacterium. RNAcentral describes it as "partial 16S ribosomal RNA". It matches the Rfam family "Bacterial small subunit ribosomal RNA", at positions 28 to 507 of the family's 1533-position model. The record is from RNAcentral.
GACGAACGCUGGCGGCGUGCUUAACACGUGCAAGUCGAACGGAAAGGCCCUGCUUUUGUGGGGUGCUCGAGUGGCGAACGGGUGAGUAACACGUGAGUAACCUGCCCUUGACUUUGGGAUAACUUCAGGAAACUGGGGCUAAUACCGGAUAGGAGCUCCUGCUGCAUGGUGGGGGUUGGAAAGUUUCGGCGGUUGGGGAUGGACUCGCGGCUUAUCAGCUUGUUGGUGGGGUAGUGGCUUACCAAGGCUUUGACGGGUAGCCGGCCUGAGAGGGUGACCGGCCACAUUGGGACUGAGAUACGGCCCAGACUCCUACGGGAGGCAGCAGUGGGGAAUAUUGCACAAUGGGCGGAAGCCUGAUGCAGCAACGCCGCGUGCGGGAUGACGGCCUUCGGGUUGUAAACCGCUUUCGCCUGUGACGAAGCGUGAGUGACGGUAAUGGGUAAAGAAUCACCGGCUAACUACGUG